RNAcentral lists this ribosomal RNA (530 nucleotides) under uncultured bacterium. RNAcentral's name for it is "bacterial SSU rRNA". It matches the Rfam family "Bacterial small subunit ribosomal RNA", at positions 777 to 1304 of the family's 1533-position model. The record is from RNAcentral.
AAUAGAUACCCGGGUAGUCCACGCCGUAAACGAUGUCAACUCGGUGUGUGGCAGUCUUAUGGGCUGCUGCGUGCCUUAGCUCACGCGGGAAGUUGACCGCCUGGGGACUACGGUCGCAAGAUUAAAACUCAAAGGAAUUGACGGGGGACCCGCACAAGCGGUGGAUGAUGUGGAUUAAUUCGAUGCAACGCGAAAAACCUUACCUACCCUUGACAUGUCAGGAACCUCCGAGAGAUCGGGGGGUGCCCGAAAGGGAGCCUGAACACAGGUGCUGCAUGGCUGUCGUCAGCUCGUGUCGUGAGAUGUUGGGUUAAGUCCCGCAACGAGCGCAACCCUUGUCAUUAGUUGCUACGAAAGGGCACUCUAAUGAGACUGCCGGUGACAAACCGGAGGAAGGUGGGGAUGACGUCAAGUCCUCAUGGCCCUUAUGGGUAGGGCUUCACACGUCAUACAAUGGUACAUACAGAGGGCCGCCAACCCGGCGAGGGGGAGCUAAUCCCGAGAAAGUGUAUCGUAGUCCGGAUCGCAGU